Molecule: unclassified non-coding RNA, 2237 nt
Filed under: uncultured fungus
Lineage: Eukaryota; Fungi
Description: sequence contains 18S rRNA gene, ITS1, 5.8S rRNA gene, ITS2, 28S rRNA gene
Source: RNAcentral
UGUGGGGCUGGGCCUUGUCAACCACGGGACGCCGGGCCGUUCCCAUUACAGCGAUCUCCGCGCGGGGUUUUGGUAUGCGUUCCGUUACUAGCCUCCUUUUGCUGCUGCCCGCGUGGCUCAACGCCGCGGAAUUGCCCUACUUUAGCGUUCUAUCGAGCGAUGCCGGGGCCUGGCCUUCUGUGCUCGCAUCCAUUGGAUUCGUCGAGCGGCCGGCGGUCCAGGCGAAGCUGUUCGUCGCCCGGGCCGGCGCCAGUGCGUCGCUCGAGUGGCAUGAACGGGUCGAGAAGGGCGCCGUUCUAAUCCUCGAAGGAGAAUCGUCCCUGGCGGAGAUGCUUGGCUUCGGGCGGGGAUCGGAGAAAGUCCGGGUCGCAAGCCUCAUCGAUUCCCAUCAACCUCAGCUGCCGAUCGUCUGGGAGACCGCGCUCGAGUUGCCUAAGCCGCGCUUGCCUGCCAACGCCACCGUUUUCACCAGGGAGCGGUGGACAGGCACGCCUAUGGUGGCUGGGGUCAGGCGCGGCGCCGGCGCUGUCCUCUGAAUCGCGGCGCCUCCGGGGGAGCGCGGACACGAGCGAUUCCCCUAUUUGCUCCAGGCGCUGACCGACCUCGACUCGAGGCGCCGUUUCGCUCCAACCGCCUCUGGGCCUUCUUUGACUACUCGUAUCGUACUAGAGUCGAUCUGGAUUAUUUCGCAGCCCGUUGGAGCAAGGCCGGCAUUUCCGGCCUACAUGUGGCCGCCUGGCAUUUCUACGAGCCCGACCCCGUUCGCGAUGCUUAUCUGAAGGCGGUUGAUCGAGGCCUGCCAUCGGUCCGGCAUCCUGGUGUACGCCUGGCUCGAACUGCCGCAUGUCAGCGAGGCGUUUUGGAACCGCCACCCAGAAUGGCGCGAGAAGACCGCCAUGCUGCAAGACGCGCACCUGGACUGGCGAAAGUUGAUGAACCUGAGCAAUCGCGACUGUUUCCGUGCCGUGGCUACCGGCGUCGGCUCUCUGCUUCAUCGCUUUGAUUGGGACGGAGUCAAUCUCGCGGAGCUGUACUUCGAAUCCCUGGAGGGAAUCGACAAUCCAUCCCGAUUCACCCCAAUGAAUGAAGACGUUCGAGCCGAAUCUCAAAGGUUGCUUGGGUUCGAUCCCCUCGAGCUUUUCGGCAAGCGAAAGGAUGCCGCUUCCCGGCGCUCGUUUCUCGAUUCCGGGGCGAUCUUGCUUUAAGGAUCGAGCAGGAGUGGAUUGCGGAACUGGACCGGAUGAGAAGGACACUCCCUCACCUGGAACUCGUCCUGACCCACGUCGACGACCGGUUGGACACCGGGAUGCGGGAUGCUAUUGGGGCCGACGCGGCUCGUAUUUUGCCCUUGCUCGGCAAGCACAACUUCACUUUCCUGGUGGAAAGAUCCAGCUACGGUGUGGCAUCUCGGAGCCAACCGUUAUCGUCAGAUUGCCGAGCGAUAUCAAGCUCUUACGGCGUUUCGCGACAGGUUGGCAAUCGACCUCAACAUCGUGGAGCGCUAUCAGAACGUCUACCCCACGCGUCAGCAAACCGGCAUCGAGUUCUUUCAGUUGGUUCACGAGGCCGCGGCUGGGUCGGACGAGUUGCGCUCUAUUUCGAGAAUUCGCUCCUUGCCCCGGAUCUCGGCCUUCUGCCGUCAGCCGCGGCGGCAGUGAGCCGGAUUGAGGCUGUCGGCGGAAAGUUGGUAGUCGAGUCGCUGAAUGGCGUGGGGAUUCCCUGGGUGGGAGGCGCCGUCGUGGAUGGCCAGUUGUGGCCGCUCGCGGAUUCGGAGACUCUUUGGCUCCCGCCUGGAGGACACGCCGUCGAGCGGGCGCCUAGGGAACCUCCGUUCCGCAUUGAGCGGUUCACCGGAAACAUCAGAUCGGCAAGUGUCGCCCCGAACGGGACGGUGGAACUCUCCUAUACCAGCGCCUCGCGUGCCAUCGCACUACUGAGCGGCGGCGUGCGGCGCGUUGAGGUGGAUGGAGAGGAGCAGGCUCCCGUUCCGGCCGGGCCGCGGGCCAUUUUCCUACCCCGUGGCCAGCACUUCGUUGCGCUCCUUCCCUCCUCCGAAGUUGAAGCAACCAAAGCCAUCCGUGACAAUCCUCAACGCUUGCGUUAGGAUGGCGGAUGGUCAAUGACGGAUGGCGCCUUACAAUCCGGCUCUCCGGAGAUUCCGGAUAAGCUGUACUUCAAGAUUGGAGAAGUCAGCGAACUGCUCAGCGUGGAGCCAUACGUUUUGCGCUACUGGGAAU